UACGAAGGGGGCUAGCGUUGCUCGGAAUCACUGGGCGUAAAGGGUGCGUAGGCGGGCCUUUAAGUCAGGGGUGAAAUCCCAGAGCUCAACUCUGGAACUGCCUUUGAUACUGGGUAUCUCGAGUAUGGAAGAGGUGAGUGGAAUUCCGAGUGUAGAGGUGAAAUUCGUAGAUAUUAGGAAGAACACCAGUGGCGAAGGCGGCUCACUGGUCCGGUACUGACGCUGAGGCGCGAAAGCGUGGGGAGCGAACAGG
This 253-nucleotide ribosomal RNA is filed under the name uncultured bacterium. Its description in RNAcentral is "partial 16S ribosomal RNA". It matches the Rfam family "Bacterial small subunit ribosomal RNA", at positions 524 to 776 of the family's 1533-position model. The record is from RNAcentral.